UACGUAGGGUGCGAGCGUUAAUCGGAAUUACUGGGCGUAAAGCGUGCGUAGACGGCUAUCUAAGUCGGGUGUGAAAGCCCCGGGCUCAACCUGGGAAUUGCAUUCGAGACUGAAUAGCUAGGGUACGGUAGAGGGAAGUGGAAUUUCCGGUGUAGCGGUGAAAUGCGUAGAUAUCGGAAGGAACAUCAGUGGCGAAAGCGACUUCCUGGACCAGUACCGACGUUCAGGCACGAAAAGCGUGGGGGAGCAAACAGG
This 255-nucleotide ribosomal RNA is filed under the name uncultured bacterium. RNAcentral's name for it is "partial 16S ribosomal RNA". It matches the Rfam family "Bacterial small subunit ribosomal RNA", at positions 524 to 776 of the family's 1533-position model. The record is from RNAcentral.